ACACGCAUAACUAAGGAGGCCGGCAGUGUAUCUCUGCGUAUGAAGCAGGUGGAAGAACUGUGAGUAGGCUGAGAGUCUUGCAGAGCACCAAUGUCCACUGCUACCCUGUCCAUUCUCCCUCUGCCGCUUCUCUUGAAGGCCUUUGUCCAUCCAGAAAGAUGAGGUGGUGGGAGGAACUGCCUGUCUGUGCAGUAGCUUUGGCUCACAAGGGAAGAGGUCGUGGUGCAGCUGUGUCGGUCGAUGACUGCUUAUCUGAUUGGUUGCUUCCAUGUGCAGCUGUGUGUUCAGAGUGGUGUUGGUUCCCCCUCCUGUUGGUUUUUGUGGUGGACCAGCCACUAUCAGCAGCAAACCUGAAGGCCUGUUCUAUAGUUUUCCUUAGUAGGAAGGAAAUCGUAUGCUUCUCUUAAAGUGCUCUGAUUCUUGGUAACUCAUUGCUUUUUUAUUUCACUUUGGGACACUUAGAUUUGAUGGUGAUUCUAGUUUUUUUUAACUUUUAGUUUUUUAUUGUUUGUUGUUUUCGUGUUCAAAGAUAAUAUUUCAGCCUUUUGUAUUUUAGUUCCCGAGGGUUAGAAUAUUCUUUGAUUCUUAAGAAAUCUUUCAAGUAACAGAAUGGCACAGAUACUCAGUACUGUGCCUGAUUUUCCUUCUGAACUUGCCAAAACUUUCUGAGAGCUGAAUGUAUCAUUUUAGAAAUGACCUACUAAUAUGGAGAUAAAACAUCCUAUAUGAGGAAAUUUUAAAGCUCAGUGUACCUUCCCCCACCUCAUGCCAGCCUGGGGGCUAUUCAGAGAAUUAUAAAAGACAAAAAAACUCUCUGUGUACAUUCUGCCCAGCAAAUUCAUUUCAUCUCUCCACUGUAGUUGCAUGAACCCUGUGUUGCUGUGCUUAAGCGCUUGGUUUCAGUCACUUGUGGUUGUGUUGUUGUAAGUGCGGAAUUGGCCUGGGGAUAAGUGUGCCUGGCUGUUCUAGCCACCUAGUUGUGAACAGUACAGUGUGCGCCUAUCUCUCAGGCUGUGGUGUGGGUACUUGGAAUCCUCGUCUUCAUCUGAUAACUCUGUUACUAGGGCAUCAUCAUUACAAACUCGUAGCCUGGAAUCCACAUCUUGGAGACAGCUCGUGGUUUGCCUUUAUGUUAGCAUCUACAGCUAACUGCCUUCCUUGUCCCUCCUGUCACCCUCUUGAAUUCCAUCAGAUAUCAUUCUCUGCUGGAACUGGGUGAGAAGCGUAAAGGCAUGUUGGAGAAGAGUUGCAAGAAGUUUAUGUUGUUCCGUGAGGCGAAUGAACUACAGCAAUGGAUCAAUGAGAAGGAAGCCGCUCUGACAAGUGAGGAGGUCGGCGCAGACUUGGAGCAGGUUGAGGUGCUCCAGAAGAAGUUUGAUGACUUCCAGAAGGACCUGAAGGCCAAUGAGUCACGGUUGAAGGACAUUAACAAGGUAGCUGAAGACCUGGAGUCUGAAGGUCUCAUGGCAGAGGAGGUGCAGGCUGUGCAACAACAGGAAGUGUAUGGCAUGAUGCCCAGGGUAAGUUUCGGGUGCUGCAUGUGGAUCUUGAACAUGAGAAGGACUUAAAUCUUGGGAAGAAUAUUAAGCCAAGAACUUCUUCAUCAGAAUUGCUGUUCCUGAACCUCAGAUGCCUUUUGUGUGUAAAGAUUUGUGGAAAACACCAAAAAAUUGAUUUCUUUUUUUUUUUUUUGGGACGGAGUCUCACUCUGUCACCCAGGCUGGAGUGCAGUGGUGUGAUCUUGGCUCACUGCAACCUCCACCGCCCAGGUUCAAGUGAUUCUCCCAUCUCAGCUUCCUGAGUAGCUGGAAUUCCAGGCAUGUGGCACCACACCCAGCUAAUUUUUGUAUUUUUAGUAGAGACGGGGUUUCACCAUGUUGCCCAGGCUGGUCUCGAACUCCCAACCUCAGGUGAUCCGCCCACCUCAGCUUCCCAGAGUGCUGGGAUUACAGACGUGAGCCACCGCGCCUGGCCCAGAAAUUGAUUUCUAUUUGCCAUUCUCCAAAAGACAAAAAAAGUUGGUGUUUUUUUUUUUUUUUAAGAGAUAGGGUCUUGCUUUGUUGCCCAGACUGGAGGUCAGUGGCUUUUCACCUUUUCACAGCUGCGGUUAUAGCCUACUGCAGCCUCGAACUCCUGGCCUCAAGCAAUUCUCCCACCUCAGCCUCCCAGGUAUCUAGGACAACAGGCAUGCAACACAAAGCACAGCUCUAAAAAAAAAAAGAA
Molecule: small RNA, 2223 nt
Filed under: Pongo abelii (Sumatran orangutan)
Lineage: Eukaryota; Metazoa; Chordata; Mammalia; Primates; Hominidae
Description: retained intron
Source: RNAcentral